GAUGAACGCUGGCGGCGUGCUUAAUACAUGCAAGUCGAACGGAGAAUCUUUGUAGCAAUACGGAGGUUCUUAGUGGCGAACGGGUGCGUAACGCGUUGGUGACCUGCCCCAAAGUGUGGGAUAACAGUUCGAAAGGACUGCUAAUACCGCAUGUGGACACGAGGGUUAGAGGCUUUGUGUCUAAAGCAGUAAUGCGCUUUGGGAGGGACCUGCGUCCCAUCAGUUAGUUGGUAGGGUAAUGGCCUACCAAGACUUCGACGGGUAGGGGACCUGAGAGGGUGGUCCCCCACACUGGCACUGAAACACGGGCCAGACACCUACGGGUGGCUG
This 330-nucleotide ribosomal RNA is filed under the name uncultured Chloroflexota bacterium. RNAcentral's name for it is "bacterial SSU rRNA". It matches the Rfam family "Bacterial small subunit ribosomal RNA", at positions 28 to 351 of the family's 1533-position model. The record is from RNAcentral. Lineage: Bacteria; Bacillati; Chloroflexota.